RNAcentral lists this ribosomal RNA (990 nucleotides) under Triticum aestivum (bread wheat). Its description in RNAcentral is "partial small subunit ribosomal RNA". Lineage: Eukaryota; Viridiplantae; Streptophyta; Magnoliopsida; Poales; Poaceae. The record is from RNAcentral.
AUGGAGCCAGGAUCCAAACAAGAUGGAGAUGUUAACAUGACGAGGGCAAUGGAGGCUUUGUCCCCUUGGUUGAACCACCCAAGGAAGACGAUCGUCCAGGUUGAAGUUCUGGUGGUAACGGCCGCUGCGCUGCUGCUUCUCCAACUCAUCUUGGGCUCCUGCAAGCGGCGCUGGCAUCAUUCCUUCGUCAAAGGUGGCUUGAGCGUGUGUGGAACACUUGUGCCCCCUCUUGUCCUCUUCACAUUGGGUAUGAUGCAGUCCUUCCCAAUCAAGAGUUCAUCGUAUCCUGUCUGGUCUGCUAUCCUCAUCAUGGCUUCAGUGGGCACGACGGGCGUCCAGCAAUAUGAUUUCUAUUGCAGCCACGAUAAAAAGCACAUGCAGGUUCUUGUCGAGCUAGGUAAAUAUUGUGCAUACUUGAUUCGAUCUGUCCCAGAACUGCUUCCGUACCACGAGGUGGAUAUAGAAGAGUUGAAAGCAAGGGUGCUGAAAGAACGUAAGCAGCUUUUUGGAUCCUAUAAAUAUUCUGAGAUAUACGAUAAAAUGAAGAAUUUAGAAGGGACAGAAGAAGGAGAUGACCCUGUGACAGUCUUCAAGAAAGGAGUGAAGCUUGGUAAGCAGCUCACGAGCAUGCCGGAAGAGCUUCAGCACUGGAAGGUGAUGGGGGAUUUCUGGGCUGAGACAAUCAUCUAUGUCGCGCCCUCGCACUCCACUGCGAAGCAACACAUGCAGCAUCUUGAGAAUGGCGGGCAGUUCCUCACCCAUAUCUGGGCUCUGCUUUCUCAUGCUGGUAUCCUGAACCUUAACAGGGACAAGGAUCAGGGGCACAGGAAGAGCCUGCAUCUGUAUGAUUCAUGUCGACAGCGGACCAGCCUCCGCCGCCUCCCUUUCGCCACAAGCUGGUUACUUUGUGAUUUCCCAUCAGUAUUUAUUUUCCAAAAUGGCAGUGUUUCUUGUGUUGCCGUUCUUAAUGUUUGUACUAUGAAUAAUUGA